UACGUAGGGGGCAAGCGUUAUCCGGAUUUACUGGGUGUAAAGGGUGCGUAGGCGGGAUGCCAAGUCAGCGGUAAAAAUGCGGUGCUCAACGCCGUCGAGCCGUUGAAACUGGCGUUCUUGAGUGGGCGAGAAGUAUGCGGAAUGCGUGGUGUAGCGGUGAAAUGCAUAGAUAUCACGCAGAACUCCGAUUGCGAAGGCAGCAUACCGGCGCCCUACUGACGCUGAGGCACGAAAGCGUGGGUAUCGAACAGG
This 252-nucleotide ribosomal RNA is filed under the name uncultured bacterium. RNAcentral describes it as "partial 16S ribosomal RNA". It matches the Rfam family "Bacterial small subunit ribosomal RNA", at positions 524 to 776 of the family's 1533-position model. The record is from RNAcentral.